RNAcentral lists this ribosomal RNA (497 nucleotides) under uncultured bacterium. RNAcentral's name for it is "partial 16S ribosomal RNA". It matches the Rfam family "Bacterial small subunit ribosomal RNA", at positions 28 to 507 of the family's 1533-position model. The record is from RNAcentral.
GAUGAACGCUGGCGGCGUGCCUAAUACAUGCAAGUCGAGCGAACAGACGAGGAGCUUGCUCCUCUGACGUUAGCGGCGGACGGGUGAGUAACACGUGGAUAACCUACCUAUAAGACUGGGAUAACUUCGGGAAACCGGAGCUAAUACCGGAUAAUAUAUUGAACCGCAUGGUUCAAUAGUGAAAGACGGUUUUGCUGUCACUUAUAGAUGGAUCCGCGCCGCAUUAGCUAGUUGGUAAGGUAACGGCUUACCAAGGCAACGAUGCGUAGCCGACCUGAGAGGGUGAUCAGCCACACUGGAACUGAGACACGGUCCAGACUCCUACGGGAGGCAGCAGUAGGGAAUCUUCCGCAAUGGGCGAAAGCCUGACGGAGCAACGCCGCGUGAGUGAUGAAGGUCUUCGGAUCGUAAAAUUCUGUUAUUAGGGAAGAACAAAUGUGUAAGUAACUAUGCACGUCUUGACGGUACCUAAUCAGAAAGCCACGGCUAACUACGUG